UCUUCAUUUCCUUUUAAUAACAUUAAGUUGGAAUUCCAACUAAGAGGCCUCGUCUAUCAUUCUUCUAUUAACACCGCAGACAGAGGUCGUGGGCUACCUCAGUCCUUGAUGGGGAAAUGGAUUUCGAAACACCGAUCUUCAAAGACAGCCAACUCUCACUUCAAACACCCGCCACCAACUGCCAAUCACGUUCUCUUCCCGAAGACGACAAACACAACAGAAAUGCUAAUCAAGCUGGAUCCCGCAUCUACAAACGGUUUGAAAGGACGUCCAAAACCCCUCCCAUCCAUCCGUCCAACCAGGCUUUGCUGCUUUGCUCGUGAGUCAAUGACUUCACUCGUCUGAGUCUGGAUGGGGACGCUUUUUCCACCCAGCAACGAAUAGGAAGUCCACAAAGCGAGCUUCGAGGGUUAUGGUCGUAUAAAUCAUAAGUCUACCCCUUGUAUCCGUGCAACCCAGCCCAUUCAGAGGCCUUCACCUUCCAUGAGACUCCUCAGGGCCCACGAUGAUGCGGUCGUGUGAUCAAAGAUCUCGUGGACAUCACAACAGGUCUCUGUCGAGACCCCAGACCCAAGCCCAGGCCCAGACCCCAGAACCCAGGCC
Molecule: long non-coding RNA, 603 nt
Organism: Osmerus eperlanus (European smelt)
Lineage: Eukaryota; Metazoa; Chordata; Actinopteri; Osmeriformes; Osmeridae
Exons: 4
Source: RefSeq, a predicted model, not a curated record